AAAAAGCAACCUAAUUCAGUGAUUUCAACCUUAGGUUCCUUAUGUUGCUUAAUCUUGGGCCUUGCAACCGCAACUUCCUUACCCUUCCACUUCUUAGUUUCCUUAGAAGAGGAUGCCAAAUGAGUACUUUCAGUCUUAUCUAGCUUUAUCCUUUCCUCCUCUUGCACACAGUGUGAAAUGAGCUCAUUAAGAGUCCAUUUCUCCUUCAGGCAGUUGUAACUGACCUUAAACUGAUUAAAGUGUGCAGGAAGAGANN
RNAcentral lists this long non-coding RNA (256 nucleotides) under Nicotiana benthamiana. RNAcentral's name for it is "long non-coding RNA (NBEN_LNC010742)". Lineage: Eukaryota; Viridiplantae; Streptophyta; Magnoliopsida; Solanales; Solanaceae. The record is from RNAcentral.